UGGGGAAUAUUGCACAAUGGACGGAAGUCUGAUGCAGCAACGCCGCGUGCGGGAUGACGGCCUUCGGGUUGUAAACCGCUUUUUCUCAUGACGAAGUUUUUUGACGGUAGUGGGGGAAGAAGCACCGGCUAACUACGUGCCAGCAGCCGCGGUGAUACGUAGGGUGCGAGCGUUGUCCGGAAUUAUUGGGCGUAAAGAGCUUGUAGGCGGUUUGUCGCGUCGAUAGUGCAAACUCAGUGCUUAACGCUGAGCCUGCUGUUGAUACGGGCAGACUAGAGGAAGGUAGGGGAGAAUGGAAUUCCCGGUGGAGCGGUGGAAUGCGCAGAUAUCGGGAGUAACACCGGUGGCGAAGGCGGUUCUCUGGGCCUUUCCUGACGCUGAGAAGCGAAAGCGUGGGGAGCGAACAGG
This 408-nucleotide ribosomal RNA is filed under the name Fusobacteriota bacterium. Its description in RNAcentral is "Fusobacteria bacterium partial 16S ribosomal RNA". It matches the Rfam family "Bacterial small subunit ribosomal RNA", at positions 355 to 776 of the family's 1533-position model. The record is from RNAcentral. Lineage: Bacteria; Fusobacteriati; Fusobacteriota.